RNAcentral lists this ribosomal RNA (1561 nucleotides) under Halomonas flava. RNAcentral describes it as "16S ribosomal RNA". It matches the Rfam family "Bacterial small subunit ribosomal RNA". The record is from RNAcentral. Lineage: Bacteria; Pseudomonadati; Pseudomonadota; Gammaproteobacteria; Oceanospirillales; Halomonadaceae.
GCCCUUAGAGUUUGAUCCUGGCUCAGAUUGAACGCUGGCGGCAGGCCUAACACAUGCAAGUCGAGCGGCAGCACGGGGAGCUUGCUCCCUGGUGGCGAGCGGCGGACGGGUGAGUAAUGCAUAGGAAUCUGCCCGGUAGUGGGGGAUAACCUGGGGAAACUCAGGCUAAUACCGCAUACGCCCCAUGGGGGAAAGCGGGGGACCUUCGGGCCUCGCGCUAUCGGAUGAGCCUAUGUCGGAUUAGCUGGUUGGUGAGGUAACGGCUCACCAAGGCGACGAUCCGUAGCUGGUCUGAGAGGAUGAUCAGCCACACUGGGACUGAGACACGGCCCAGACUCCUACGGGAGGCAGCAGUGGGGAAUAUUGGACAAUGGGGGCAACCCUGAUCCAGCCAUGCCGCGUGUGUGAAGAAGGCCUUCGGGUUGUAAAGCACUUUCAGCGAGGAAGAAGGCUUUCGGGCGAAUACCCCGGAAGAAGGACAUCACUYGSAAGAAGAAGCCACCGGCUAACUCCGUGCCAGCAGCCGGCGGUUAAUACGGAAGGGUGCGAAGCGUUAAUCGGAAUUACUGGGCGUAAAGCGCGCGUAGGCGGCUCGAUAAGCCGGUUGUGAAAGCCCCGGGCUCAACCUGGGAAUGGCAUCCGGAACUGUGGGGCUAGAGUGCAGGAGAGGAAGGUAGAAUUCCCGGUGUAGCGGUGAAAUGCGUAGAGAUCGGGAGGAAUACCAGUGGCGAAGGCGGCCUUCUGGCCUGACACUGACGCUGAGGUGCGAAAGCGUGGGUAGCAAACAGGAUUAGAUACCCUGGUAGUCCACGCCGUAAACGAUGUCGACUAGCCGUUGGGUUCUUCGAGAACUUAGUGGCGCAGUUAACGCGAUAAGUCGACCGCCUGGGGGAGUACGGCCGCAAGGUUAAAACUCAAAUGAAUUGACCGGGGGCCCGCCACAAGCCGGUGGGAGCAUGUGGUUUAAUUCGAUGCAACGCCGAAGAACCUUACCUACCCUUGACAUCGAGAGAACUUGGCAGAGAAUGCCUUGGGUGCCUUCUGGGAGCUCUCUCAGACAAGGUGCUGCAUGGCUGUCGUCAGCUCGUGUUGUGAAAUGUUGGGUUAAGUCCCGUAACGAGCGCAACCCUUGUCCCUAUUUGCCAGCGAUUCGGUCGGGAACUCUAGGGAGACUGCCGGUGACAAACCGGAGGAAGGUGGGGACGACGUCAAGUCAUCAUGGCCCUUACGGGUAGGGCUACACACGUGCUACAAUGGCAGGUACAAAGGGUUGCGAGACGGCGACGUGGAGCCAAUCCCAGAAAGCCUGCCUCAGUCCGGAUCGGAGUCUGCAACUCGACUCCGUGAAGUCGGAAUCGCUAGUAAUCGUGAAUCAGAAUGUCACGGUGAAUACGUUCCCGGGCCUUGUACACACCGCCCGUCACACCAUGGGAGUGGACUGCACCAGAAGUGGUUAGCUUAACCUUCGGGGGAGCGAUCACCACGGUGUGGUUCAUGACUGGGGUGAAGUCGUAACAAGGUAGCCGUAGGGGAACCUGCGGCUGGAUCACCUCCUAAGGGC